RNAcentral lists this unclassified non-coding RNA (229 nucleotides) under Rozellomycota sp. RNAcentral describes it as "Cryptomycota sp. partial contains small subunit ribosomal RNA, internal transcribed spacer 1, and 5.8S ribosomal RNA". The stretch from base 1 to 47 matches the Rfam family "Eukaryotic small subunit ribosomal RNA", at positions 1785 to 1831 of the family's 1831-position model. The record is from RNAcentral. Lineage: Eukaryota; Fungi; Rozellomycota.
AAAGUCGUAACAAGGUUUCCGUAGGUGAACCUGCGGAAGGAUCAUUACAAAUCAAUUUGUGGGGGUGGUUGGUGAUAAGUUGACAUUGUCUGAGGAUAAAGUCCUUGUCACCCUACUUUCAUAUAUGUUCGAGGCAGCAAUGCUUCGUGACAUUUACGCUUGUCUUGUUUGUCAGAGUAAAAGUGAUUAUAUAAAGAGACAACUUUUAACAAUGGAUCUCUUGGCUCUU